RNAcentral lists this ribosomal RNA (468 nucleotides) under uncultured bacterium. Its description in RNAcentral is "partial 16S ribosomal RNA". It matches the Rfam family "Bacterial small subunit ribosomal RNA", at positions 28 to 507 of the family's 1533-position model. The record is from RNAcentral.
GACGAACGCUGGCGGCGUGCUUAACACAUGCAAGUCGAACGGAAGGGCCCUGCUUUUGUGGGGUGCUCGAGUGGCGAACGGGUGAGUAACACGUGAGUAACCUGCCCUUGACUUUGGGAUAACUUCAGGAAGCUGGGGCUAAUACCGGAUAGGAGCUCCUGCUGCAUGGUGGGGGUUGGAAAGUUUCGGCGGUUGGGGAUGGACUCGCGGCUUAUCAGCUUGUUGGUGGGGUAGUGGCUUACCAAGGCUUUGACGGGUAGCCGGCCUGAGAGGGUGACCGGCCACAUUGGGACUGAGAUACGGCCCAGACUCCUACGGGAGGCAGCAGUGGGGAAUAUUGCACAAUGGGCGGAAGCCUGAUGCAGCAACGCCGCGUGCGGGAUGACGGCCUUCGGGUUGUAAACCGCUUUCGCCUAUGACGAAGCGUGAGUGACGGUAAUGGGUAAAGAAGCACCGGCUAACUACGUG